Long non-coding RNA from Cavia porcellus (domestic guinea pig), 2053 nucleotides. The record is from Ensembl. NCBI's taxonomy places the organism in Eukaryota, Metazoa, Chordata, Mammalia, Rodentia, Caviidae.
AUGGCUGAGAGGCUCUGGUCUGUGGGAGGCUCCAGGUGGGCACAGGACCCCCCCUACUCACCCGAGCCAGAUCCGCGGGGCUCCAGCGCUGCUGCGGACAGGAAGAGGCUGAAGGAUCCGCGCUCUGGACCACUUUCUCCGCCCCAGCUGGGUUCUGCCCUACCUGAGAGCCACGCCCACCAAGACUCCGCCCUUGAAAAAUCCCGCCCCCGCUAUUGGACCCGCCCCGCCCCUCGCUCUCGCUCCGCCCCCUCGGAACGCUUCUACUAACCACGCCCCCUUCGCACGGGUCUUCCUCGCAGACCCCGCCUCCCUGGGAAACUCCGCGGUUUUUCCCCCCAGGCAUGGCUCCGCCCCCUUAUAACAUGCUCCGCCCCCUCUGGCUGGCCACGCCCACUCAGCGCUCUCGGCGGCUGCGUGAGAAAUUCCAGUGAUGUUCGCACCUGCACAGCUCGGCCGUGCAGCCGGGGCUGGUCCCCGAGCAUCUGGGCCGGGGUUCCGGGCUGUGACGCAGGGAGGCUACACUUCCUCCGUGCGGUCAGGCUGGGCUUCCUGGAAAGGAGGUUUUGUGGAGAGACGUGUGGGAAAACACGAGGCUUCCAAGGGGAGGGAUUGUAACCGUCAGCAAAGCAGGUUUUACUGAGUGAUUACUCUGUACCGAGACCGUGUUGCUUGCUGAUCCGCCCUGUGGGAGGUGGGCACUAUUUUCACACACACACACACACACACACACACAUGCACACACUGUCUGGGCCCCUCCAUCGCAUCAGGGCGAGCUCACCGUGAUCUGCGCUCUAACUCCGAGCGCAGCGAGGUGAAUCGUCACCAUUUCAUAGACGAGGAAACUGAAGGCCAGCAGCAAGCCGAGGCGCUCGGGAACGGAAAAGCUGGGGUGCCUCCAGGAUUGCAAAACUGGGUGUUUCCAGGCUGACUAGCUCCCCACCGCUUCCGCCUGCCUCUCCCGAUAGGGAAGGGACUCCAGGUCGGUAGGAGGCUCCGGUCUCCCGUCUAUGCAGUGAGGGGUCCAGCGCCGUCUAGUGGUUUCGAAAAAGUGCUGCGGGAAACUGGGUCAGCUGAGGGGCGACCUACAGCUUGCGGCGGGGUACAGUGCGGGGAGGGGCCGCCUGUGCGGCACUAGGAAGGAGUAAAUGUUAGUGCAUCCAUGAAAAACAGCAGCACGGUCGAUGGCGAGGACGGCGGCUUGCAUUUGGGUGGUGGCCACGGUCAUGGCCGAAAAUGGACGGAGCUGGGAUCGAUGCCAGAGGGGCAUCAAUGCAGUUUUCACUUAUUUAUUCGUUCAAAAAAUAUUUAUGGAGCCCCAUGUGCGUGCCAAGGGCUGGGGGGGGGGAUCAGCAGAAAACAAAGCACAGACACAGAUUCCUGAAGAGAGGAUAAAGUACGACCUGGUGAGCUGCUGCUUGCCUGGCACCCCAGCCACUUAGUCACUUAGACCCUGCCUCAAAAUGCAAUAUAAAAGCCCGGAGUGAUGGCCAGCACUCGGGAGGCUGAGGCAGGAGGAUCACUGCGAGUCUGAGACCAGCUUGUACUACAAAGUGAGCUCAAGGACAGACAACUGCAGAGCAAGACCCAGUGUCAAAAAGACAGUAAGACAAUCAAUCAAUAAUUAUAAAAUAAAAUAAAGGAGGGGGCUAGGGAUAUAGCUCAGCGGCACAGUGCCUUGCUGGCAAGCUCAAGGUUGUAACCAACACGAAAAGAAAAAAAGAAAAGAAAACAAUAGAACACAGGCUGGAAAUGUAGCUUAGUGGAAAUGUAGUUAAUGCAAAGGUCCUGUGGUUCAGUCCCCAGUCCUGGGGGGGGGGGGAAGCAGUCAUUCUUCAAUCCUUCAUACUGGGGUGGUGUAAUUUCAGGAUCCCUGAAGGUUCCAGACUCUGCGGCCGCUCAUGUCUCUUGCAUAAGCAGUGUAGUAUUUGCCUAUACAGUGGUCUGUACAUAGUAUGCACACAAUUCUUUUUUCUGAAUAUUUUUGAACUGUGACUGGUUGAAUCCAAGGAUGUGGAAGCCACAGAAACAUAGGUCUCCUGUAUAAGCGUUU